GUGGUUUUUACUUCUGGGAUGCUGGGUCAUUAUGUAAAUUAACUUAGGGUCAAACAACAAUAACACCAACAAAGCCAAUGUGUUAGCACUAGAUUACAGGUGAAAAUAGGUCUUUCACAUCUACAUAAUAUUCUUAAUAUUUUUUCUAUUUCCUUGUGAUUCCAAUUCGAAUUCAUUCUUUUUUUGUAGCUUUGAGUUUUAGUUAUGCUUAUUCUGGAG
RNAcentral lists this unclassified non-coding RNA (219 nucleotides) under Hevea brasiliensis (rubber tree). Lineage: Eukaryota; Viridiplantae; Streptophyta; Magnoliopsida; Malpighiales; Euphorbiaceae. The record is from RNAcentral.